CACUUUGACAGCACGUACACUAAACAAAAUGGAAUGACACAAAGAAAAUUCCCAUGGCCCUUGCACAAGCAUGAUGCACAAAUUUGAGAAAAUGAUUUGAAAGUA
Molecule: small nuclear RNA, 105 nt
Organism: Mesocricetus auratus (golden hamster)
Lineage: Eukaryota; Metazoa; Chordata; Mammalia; Rodentia; Cricetidae
Source: RefSeq, a predicted model, not a curated record